Potamilus streckersoni is the source of this 73-nucleotide non-coding RNA. Lineage: Eukaryota; Metazoa; Mollusca; Bivalvia; Unionida; Unionidae. The record is from the annotation of a GenBank genome assembly.
GCUCAGGUGGCUUAAAUGAUUUGAUCGUCUGCCUCGGAUGCGGGAGGUUGCGGGUUCGAAUCCCGGUUGAGUU